This 253-nucleotide ribosomal RNA is filed under the name uncultured bacterium. RNAcentral describes it as "partial 16S ribosomal RNA". It matches the Rfam family "Bacterial small subunit ribosomal RNA", at positions 524 to 776 of the family's 1533-position model. The record is from RNAcentral.
UACGAAGGGUGCAAACGUUGCUCGGAAUCAUUGGGCGUAAAGCGCGCGUAGGCGGCUUCAAAAGUCGGAUGUGAAAUCCCGUGGCUCAACCAUGGACGUGCAUUCGAAACUGCGAAGCUUGAGUAUGGAAGAGGAUCGCGGAAUUCCCGGUGUAGAGGUGAAAUUCGUAGAUAUCGGGAGGAACACCAGUGGCGAAGGCGGCGAUCUGGGUCGAUACUGACGCUGAGGUGCGAAAGCGUGGGGAGCAAACAGG